GAUGAACGCUGGCGGCGUGCCUAAUACAUGCAAGUCGAGCGAACAGACGAGGAGCUUGCUCCUCUGACGUUAGCGGCGGACGGGUGAGUAACACGUGGAUAACCUACCUAUAAGACUGGGAUAACUUCGGGAAACCGGAGCUAAUACCGGAUAAUAUAUUGAACCGCAUGGUUCAAUAGUGAAAGACGGUUUUGCUGUCACUUAUAGAUGGAUCCGCGCCGCAUUAGCUAGUUGGUAAGGUAACGGCUUACCAAGGCAACGAUGCGUAGCCGACCUGAGAGGGUGAUCGGCCACACUGGAACUGAGACACGGUCCAGACUCCUACGGGAGGCAGCAGUAGGGAAUCUUCCGCAAUGGGCGAAAGCCUGACGGAGCAACGCCGCGUGAGUGAUGAAGGUCUUCGGAUCGUAAAACUCUGUUAUUAGGGAAGAACAAAUGUGUAAGUAACUAUGCACGUCAUGACGGUACCUAAUCAGAAAGCCACGGCUAACUACGUG
RNAcentral lists this ribosomal RNA (497 nucleotides) under uncultured bacterium. RNAcentral describes it as "partial 16S ribosomal RNA". It matches the Rfam family "Bacterial small subunit ribosomal RNA", at positions 28 to 507 of the family's 1533-position model. The record is from RNAcentral.